GCCGUGGCUCAGAGGUAGAAUGCCUGCUUUGCAUGCAGAAGGUUGCAGGUUCAAUCCCUGGCAUCUCCA
Molecule: transfer RNA, 69 nt
Filed under: Sphaerodactylus townsendi
Lineage: Eukaryota; Metazoa; Chordata; Lepidosauria; Squamata; Sphaerodactylidae
Description: tRNA-Ala
Source: RNAcentral